UGGGGAAUAUUGGACAAUGGGCGAAAGCCUGAUCCAGCCAUGCCGCGUGUGUGAAGAAGGUCUUCGGAUUGUACAGCACUUUAAGUUGGGAGGAAGGGCAGUAAGCGAAUACCUUGCUGUUUUGACGUUACCGCCAGAAUAAGCACCGGCUAACUCUGUGCCAGCAGCCGCGGUAAUACAGAGGGUGCAAGCGUUAAUCGGAAUUACUGGGCGUAAAGCGCGCGUAGGUGGUUCGUUAAGUUGAAUGUGAAAGCCCCGGGCUCAACCUGGGAACUGCAUCCAAAGCUGGCGGGCUAGGGUAGGGCAGAGGGUGGUGGAAUUUCCUGUGUAGCGGUGAAGUGCGUAGAUAUAGGAAGGAACACCAGUGGCGAAGGCGACCACCUGGGCUCAUACUGACACUGAGGUGCGAAAGCGUGGGGAGCAAACAGG
This 429-nucleotide ribosomal RNA is filed under the name Pseudomonadota bacterium. RNAcentral's name for it is "Proteobacteria bacterium partial 16S ribosomal RNA". It matches the Rfam family "Bacterial small subunit ribosomal RNA", at positions 355 to 776 of the family's 1533-position model. Lineage: Bacteria; Pseudomonadati; Pseudomonadota. The record is from RNAcentral.